UACGAAGGGGGCUAGCGUUGCUCGGAAUCACUGGGCGUAAAGCGCACGUAGGCGGAUCUUUAAGUCAGGGGUGAAAUCCUGGAGCUCAACUCCAGAACUGCCUUUGAUACUGAGGAUCUUGAGUCCGGGGGAGGUGAGUGGAACUGCGAGUGUAGAGGUGAAAUUCGUAGAUAUUCGCAAGAACACCAGUGGCGAAGGCGGCUCACUGGCCCGGUACUGACGCUGAGGUGCGAAAGCGUGGGGAGCAAACAGG
RNAcentral lists this ribosomal RNA (253 nucleotides) under uncultured bacterium. RNAcentral's name for it is "partial 16S ribosomal RNA". It matches the Rfam family "Bacterial small subunit ribosomal RNA", at positions 524 to 776 of the family's 1533-position model. The record is from RNAcentral.